Molecule: ribosomal RNA, 246 nt
Filed under: uncultured bacterium
Lineage: Bacteria
Description: partial 16S ribosomal RNA
Rfam family: Bacterial small subunit ribosomal RNA
Source: RNAcentral
UACGAAGGGGGCUAGCGUUGCUCGGAAUUACUGGGCGUAAAGCGCACGUAGGCGGCUUCUUAAGUCGGUGGUGAAAUCCUGGAGCUCAACUCCAGAACUGCCUCGAUACUGGGAGCUCGAGUCCGGGAGAGGUGAGUGGGAACUGCGAGUGUAGAGGUGAAAUUCGUAGAUAUUCGCAAGAACACCAGUGGCGAAGGCGGCUCACUGGCCCGGUACUGACGCUGAGGUGCGAAAGCGUGGGGAGCA